Non-coding RNA from Paramuricea clavata, 379 nucleotides. Lineage: Eukaryota; Metazoa; Cnidaria; Anthozoa; Malacalcyonacea; Plexauridae. The record is from the annotation of a GenBank genome assembly.
CGAGGGGUUGCUGCAUGCGUGUACGUAUUUCUAGUUAUUAGUAUAACACUAUCGUUUCGUCGCCGUAUUCUAUUGCGAAUUAAACUCUUUGACAGUUUUAUGAUAUUUUUAUUAUUUCUAUAUGAGUUAUACAUGACCAUUGUAUUGUUGUAUUAUUGACGGGUAUAUGCCGAUUUUAUUCGAGAGAAGUCCGUUAAAAGAGUCGACGUUAUAGUUUACGGCUAUAUGGCGAGUCCUUCCUCCCUUAUUUCAAGGAUGGUUAUAGGCGGGCGCGGGCAAAGGCUGGAUGCAUGCGGGCUAUACAAGCAGCGCCUACUUGGGUAUUUUGGCCUGUAGAAUCGAUUUCCGGUGUUUUCAGAGUCCUAGGAUACAAAUGUCC